Molecule: ribosomal RNA, 383 nt
Filed under: Mamiella sp.
Lineage: Eukaryota; Viridiplantae; Chlorophyta; Mamiellophyceae; Mamiellales; Mamiellaceae
Description: partial small subunit ribosomal RNA
Rfam family: Eukaryotic small subunit ribosomal RNA
Source: RNAcentral
AUUCCAGCUCCAAUAGCGUAUAUUUAAGUUGUUGCAGUUAAAAAGCUCGUAGUUGGAUUUCGGGCGGGGCCUGCCGGUCCGCCGUUUCGGUGUGCACUGGCGGGCUGCGUCUUCCUGUCGAGGACGCGCUCCGGUUUAAUCGCUGGACGCGGAGUCGGCGUGGUUACUUUGAAAAAAUUAGAGUGUUCAAAGCGGGCUUACGCUUGAAUAUAUUAGCAUGGAAUAACACUAUAGGACUCCUGUCCUAUUUCGUUGGUCUCGGGACGGGAGUAAUGAUUAAGAGGAACAGUUGGGGGCAUUCGUAUUUCAUUGUCAGAGGUGAAAUUCUUGGAUUUAUGAAAGACGAACUUCUGCGAAAGCAUUUGCCAAGGAUGUUUUCAUUG